This 74-nucleotide non-coding RNA is filed under the name Rhodobacter ferrooxidans. RNAcentral's name for it is "Rhodobacter sp. SW2 Singlet oxygen resistance RNA X". It matches the Rfam family "Singlet oxygen resistance RNA X". From Rfam's summary of the family: SorX (RSs2461)like SorY is a singlet oxygen induced sRNA that counteracts oxidative stress by targeting mRNA for a transporter in Rhodobacter. It also has an impact on resistance against organic hydroperoxides. The record is from Rfam by way of RNAcentral. Lineage: Bacteria; Pseudomonadati; Pseudomonadota; Alphaproteobacteria; Rhodobacterales.
CCCCUUGUCGCGUCGGGGUCAUGGCGCGGCUACCUCCCUGUUGGACCUGGCCGGGCGUUUGCCCGGCCGUUUUU